UAUAAAUCCCAAUUGGCUUACUCAAAAGGAACUCCAAGUAUUCACUGAUGCCGAAUAAGGUUUAUAACAAACAACUAAGGCCCGGUCUUUUCACCUCCGAAUAAAUAUUCUCUUAUCUGGCAGUUGAGGAUAAAUAUUUAUUCGCCAGAUAAACUGUACCCGUCUUUUCACGUCAAUUUAUGUUCCAGUUAGUUAUCCGGUAGAUAAGCUUAAAACUUUAACUUAACCUAACAUAAUUAGAUUCAAAGUAUUUCAAAGAUGAUUUUAUCGAUUUUAUUUCCAUUUUGGAAGAAGGAAUGAAGGAAAUAAGGAAAACAUUGAUUAUGCUGAAAUAGUUUACUGGAGAGCUUGAACAAGAGGUAAAUCCAUUUUAAAUUAGAGGAAAACUGUUGAUUUGUAUGUAAAAUAGAAGACAAAGACAAGUUUAAAUAAAGACAAGCUAGCUAAUGAAACAGAUGCAGUGAUAUGACAAACACCUAGAAGAUGGAAUCCUGUGUUCUCAAAGAAAAAGCUAGUUCCAGAAAUAAGCUACCAAUAAUAAACUAGAGAAUGUAUUACAAGAAAGAACAACGCUAAUACCCAACAUAGCUCAAUUGCUUCAGAUAGAAAAAGAGGAGGAAAGGGUAGAACACAAGCGUGCCAGAGAAAAUUAAAGGGCAGAAGAGACACAAAAAUUCAUUGAUUUAUUAAAUUUAAUAAUUAAAUUAUACAAAGGACAAUUAAAUAAAGAAUAAAAAAUUA
Molecule: long non-coding RNA, 741 nt
Organism: Diabrotica virgifera virgifera (western corn rootworm)
Lineage: Eukaryota; Metazoa; Arthropoda; Insecta; Coleoptera; Chrysomelidae
Exons: 4
Source: RefSeq, a predicted model, not a curated record